AAACUACUCCCUCCGUCCAACAAAAGAUGUCUCAACUUCGACCAAAUUUGAAUGCAUUUAUACACUAAAUAAUGUCUAGAUACAUCCAAACUUGAAACAUUUUUUGUUGGACAGAGGAAGUACUAG
Brachypodium distachyon (stiff brome) is the source of this 126-nucleotide non-coding RNA. The record is from Rfam. NCBI's taxonomy places the organism in Eukaryota, Viridiplantae, Streptophyta, Magnoliopsida, Poales, Poaceae.